Molecule: long non-coding RNA, 262 nt
Filed under: Elaeis guineensis (African oil palm)
Lineage: Eukaryota; Viridiplantae; Streptophyta; Magnoliopsida; Arecales; Arecaceae
Description: long non-coding RNA (EGUI_LNC019070)
Source: RNAcentral
ACAGCUGUGUGAUCGUGUGAUCCCAAGAUUGCAGGGCUGUUGCACAUGCCAUUGUGGGCGAGAUAAUCCAGCCCUUAAUCACUCCCAUGAAGUAAGAAGGUCGUUACUGGUAAUAUAUUGAGUGGGGAUUUAAAUAUCCUCAUUGAAUAUCCUUGAAAACUGUGCCUGACUUUUUGGCCUUCUUGAGUUGGAUGAGUGGUGUCAUCUCAUGGUACAUGAGGGUCCCAUCUAUUAAUGUAUAGGUUGUCAAUCAGGAGCUGAG